UACGGAGGAUCCGAGCGUUAUCCGGAUUUAUUGGGUUUAAAGGGUGCGCAGGCGGGAGAUUAAGUCGGCGGUGAAAUUUUGCAGCUCAACUGUAACAGUGCCGUUGAUACUGCCAGGCUAGGAUUUGGUUGCUGUGGGUGGAAUGUGUGGUGUAGCGGUGAAAUGCUUAGAGAUCACACAGAAUAUCGAUUGCGAAGGCAGCUCACAAAGCCAAGAUUGACGCUGAGGCACGAAAGUGUGGGGAUCAAACA
Molecule: ribosomal RNA, 251 nt
Filed under: uncultured prokaryote
Description: partial 16S ribosomal RNA
Rfam family: Bacterial small subunit ribosomal RNA
Source: RNAcentral